UGGGGAAUAUUGCGCAAUGGGCGAAAGCCUGACGCAGCAACGCCGCGUGAGGGAUGACGGCCUUCGGGUUGUAAACCUCUUUCAGCAGGGAAGAAGCGAAAGUGACGGUACCUGCAGAAGAAGCACCGGCUAACUACGUGCCAGCAGCCGCGGUAAUACGUAGGGUGCAAGCGUUGUCCGGAUUUAUUGGGCGUAAAGAGCUCGUAGGCGGUUAGUCACGUCGGAUGUGAAAACUCAGAGCUUAACUCUGAGCCUGCAUUCGAUACGGGCUGACUAGAGUGUUGUAGGGGAGACUGGAACUCCUGGUGUAGCGGUGAAAUGCGCAGAUAUCAGGAAGAACACCGGUGGCGAAGGCGGGUCUCUGGGCAACUACUGACGCUGAGGAGCGAAAGCGUGGGGAGCAAACA
Molecule: ribosomal RNA, 407 nt
Filed under: uncultured Actinomycetales bacterium
Lineage: Bacteria; Bacillati; Actinomycetota; Actinomycetes; Actinomycetales
Description: partial 16S ribosomal RNA
Rfam family: Bacterial small subunit ribosomal RNA
Source: RNAcentral